GUGGGGAAUUUUGGACAAUGGGCGCAAGCCUGAUCCAGCAAUGCCGCGUGUGUGAAGAAGGCCUUCGGGUUGUAAAGCACUUUUGGCAGGAAAGAAAUAGUGCGUGCUAAUACCAUGCGCGAAUGACGGUACCUGCAGAAUAAGCACCGGCUAACUACGUGCCAGCAGCCGCGGUAAGACGUAGGGUGCAAGCGUUAAUCGGAAUUACUGGGCGUAAAGCGUGCGCAGGCGGUUUUGUAAGACAGGUGUGAAAUCCCCGGGCUCAACCUGGGAACUGCACUUGUGACUGCAAGGCUAGAGUGGGUCAGAGGGAGGUGGAAUUCCGCGUGUAGCAGUGAAAUGCGUAGAGAUGCGGAGGAACACCGAUGGCGAAGGCAGCCUCCUGGGAUAACACUGACGCUCAGGCACGAAAGCGUGGGGAGCAAACAGGAUUAGAAACCCCGGUAGUCC
This 450-nucleotide ribosomal RNA is filed under the name uncultured bacterium. Its description in RNAcentral is "partial 16S ribosomal RNA". It matches the Rfam family "Bacterial small subunit ribosomal RNA", at positions 354 to 796 of the family's 1533-position model. The record is from RNAcentral.